This 478-nucleotide ribosomal RNA is filed under the name uncultured bacterium. Its description in RNAcentral is "partial 16S ribosomal RNA". It matches the Rfam family "Bacterial small subunit ribosomal RNA", at positions 28 to 507 of the family's 1533-position model. The record is from RNAcentral.
GAUGAACGCUAGCGGCAGGCCUAACACAUGCAAGUCGAGGGAGAAGCCCUUUCGGGGGCAGACACCGGCGCACGGGUGCGUAACGCGUAUGCAACCUACCUUUCACAGGGGGAUAGCCCGAAGAAAUUUGGAUUAAUACCCCAUAAUAUUAUUGGAUGGCAUCAUUUGAUAAUUAAAACUGCGGUGGUGAAAGAUGGGCAUGCGUCCUAUUAGCUAGUUGGAGUGGUAACGGCACCCCAAGGCUACGAUAGGUAGGGGUCCUGAGAGGGAGAUCCCCCACACUGGUACUGAGACAGGGACCAGACUCCUACGGGAGGCAGCAGUGAGGAAUAUUGGUCAAUGGUCGGAAGACUGAACCAGCCAUGCCGCGUGCAGGAAGAAUGCCUUAUGGGUUGUAAACUGCUUUUAUAUGGGAAGAAUAAGGCGUACGUGUACGUUGAUGACGGUACCAGAUGAAUAAGCAUCGGCUAACUCCGUG